RNAcentral lists this long non-coding RNA (308 nucleotides) under Androctonus crassicauda. Lineage: Eukaryota; Metazoa; Arthropoda; Arachnida; Scorpiones; Buthidae. The record is from RNAcentral.
CAAAAAGUCCUACUACUUCCCAUCAUGCCAUCAUCUAAGGAGGCCUUCUUCUUAAGCAAGCUUGUUGUUUUCAAUGAAACAUUUGCUCCGAUCCAGAAGAAAGCUCGUUAUAAAGCCUAUUGCUCACUUUGGCAUGAAGCCAUACAGGGCCGAAAUACAGAUUCAAUCAUUGACUCUUUAUAUACGGUUGUCGAAAAUGAACAAGAUGUGAAAUGUUUCGUUUUUUGGCUGACAAUUGUUCAGCCCAAAAUAAAAAUUGGAUUAUAUAUACUGCACUCGUAAAAAUAGUAAACCAACCAGAUAUGUCA